UCUUGGUCAUUUAGAGGAAGUAAAAGUCGUAACAAGGUUUCCGUAGGUGAACCUGCGGAAGGAUCAUUAUUGAAUAAACUUAGUGGGUUGUAGCUGGCUCUUCGGAGCAUGUGCACGCCUGUUACUUUUAUCCUUUUCCACCUGUGCACUCUUUGUAGACUUUUGGAAUACCUAUCGGGAGCAAUCCGGAUUUUGAGGUUUGCUGUGCGGAAGCCAGCUUUCCUUGUGUUUCCAAAGUCUAUGUUUUCAUACACACUGUAUGUCUUGAAUGAUUUCUUAAUGGACCUUUGUGUCCAUAAAAACAAAUACAACUUUCAGCAACGGAUCUCUUGGCUCUCGCAUCGAUGAAGAACGCAGCGAAAUGCGAUAAGUAAUGUGAAUUGCAGAAUUCAGUGAAUCAUCGAAUCUUUGAACGCACCUUGCGCUCCUUGGUAUUCCGAGGAGCAUGCCUGUUUGAGUGUCAUUAAAUUAUCAACCUCUCCGGUUUUUUUUUGUAUAGACCGUGAAAGGCUUGGAUGUGGAGGUAUUUGCUGGCUUUCACAAUCAGCUCCUCUAAAAUGCAUUAGCGAAAUCUUGUGUGAUUCAUCGAUUUGGUGUGAUAAUUAUCUACGCCAUGCGAUGUCGCAUCAUCCUUUGAGAUUUAGCUUAUAACAGUCCAUUCAAUUGGACAAAAAUUAUUUGACAAUUUGACCUCAAAUCAGGUAGGACUACCCGCUGAACUUAAGCAUAUCAAUAAGCGGAGGAAAAGAAACUAACAAGGAUUCCCCUA
RNAcentral lists this ribosomal RNA (769 nucleotides) under Cercopemyces crocodilinus. RNAcentral's name for it is "eukaryotic LSU rRNA". The stretch from base 310 to 463 matches the Rfam family "5.8S ribosomal RNA". Lineage: Eukaryota; Fungi; Basidiomycota; Agaricomycetes; Agaricales. The record is from RNAcentral.